UGGCUACCACAUCCAAGGAUGGCAGCAGGCGCGCAAAUUACCCACUCCCAGCUUGGGGAGGUAGUGACGAAAAAUAACAAUGCGGGACUCUAAGAGGCCCCGUAAUUGGAAUGAGUACACCUUAAAUCGUUUAACGAGUAUCAAUUGGAGGGCAAGUCUGGUGCCAGCAGCCGCGGUAAUUCCAGCUCCAAUAGCGUAUAUUAAAGUUGCUGCAGUUAAAAAGCUCGUAGUUGGAUCUGGGGCUUGAGGUCGCUGUCUAUCGUUUCGGCGAUGACGGUGAUGCUCAGCUCUGCUUGCCGGUGACUGUUGCGGUGUUCUUCACUGAGCGCUGUAGCAGCACGGCACGUUUACUUUGAAAAAAUUAGAGUGCUCAAAGCGUGCUUGUCGCUUGAAUAAUGUUGCAUGGAAUAAUGGAAUGACCUCGGUUCUAUUUUGUUGGUUUUCGGAGCUUGAGGUAAUGAUUAAGAGGGACGAACGGGGGCAUUCGUAUUGCGGUGUUAGAGGUGAAAUUCUUGGAUCGCCGCAAGACGGACUACUGCGAAAGCAUUUGCCAAGAACGCUUUCAUUAAUUAAGAACGAAAGUCAGAGGUUCGAAGACGAUCAGACACCGUCCUAGUUCUGACCAUAAACGAUGCCGACCAGCGAUCCGUAGUGGUUGCUUUAUGGACCCUACGGGCAGCCUCCGGGAAACCAAAGUAUUUGGGUUCCGGGGGAAGUAUGGUUGCAAAGCUGAAACUUAAAGGAAUUGACGGAAGGGCACACCAGGAGUGGAGCCUGCGGCUUAAUUUGACCCAACACGGGAAAACUCACCCGGUCCGGACACCGUAAGGAUUGACAGACUGAUAGCUCUUUCUUGAUUCGGUGGAUGGUGGUGCAUGGCCGUUCUUAGUUGGUGGAGUGAUUUGUCUGGUUAAUUCCGAUAACGAACGAGACUCUAGCCUGCUAAGUAGUGUUGCUAUUGUUAUAUGGUUGACACUUCUUAGAGGGGCAAGUGGCAUUUAGCCACGCGAAAUUGAGCAAUAACAGGUCUGUGAUGCCCUUAGAUGUCCGGGGCCGCACGCGCGCUACACUGGAGAAGUCAGCGUGUGUUAUCCAAGUCCGAAAGGACUGGGUAAUCCGUUGAACCUUCUUCGUGCUUGGGACUGUGGCUUGGAACUAUUCCACAUGAACGAGGAAUUCCUAGUAAUUGCAAGUCAUAAGCUUGCGUUGAUUACGUCCCUGCCCUUUGUACACACCGCCCGUCGCUACUACCGAUUGAAUGGUUUAGCAAGGUCCUCGGAUCGUGGCCGUAGGGGCACGCAAGUGUUUCUGCGGUUUGCGAGAAGACGACCAAACUUGAUCAUUUAGAGGAAGUAAAAGUCGUAACAAGGUU
Molecule: ribosomal RNA, 1372 nt
Filed under: metagenome
Description: SSU rRNA
Rfam family: Eukaryotic small subunit ribosomal RNA
Source: RNAcentral